GGGCCCGCACAAGCGGUGGAGCAUGUGGUUUAAUUCGAUGAUACGCGAGGAACCUUACCAGGGCUUAAAUGUAGUUUGACCGGUCUGGAAACAGGCCUUCUCUUCGGAGCAGAUUACAAGGUGCUGCAUGGUUGUCGUCAGCUCGUGCCGUGAGGUGUUAGGUUAAGUCCUGCAACGAGCGCAACCCCUAUUCUUAGUUGCCAGCGGUUCGGCCGGGGACUCUAAGAAGACUGCCAGCGCAAGCUGAGAGGAAGGUGGGGAUGACGUCAAAUCAUCACGGCCCUUACGUCCUGGGCUACACACGUGCUACAAUGGUACAGACAGAGGGCAGCCACCUGGCGACAGGGAGCGAAUCCUUAAACUGUAUCUCAGUUCGGAUCGGAGUCUGCAACUCGACUCCGUG
This 403-nucleotide ribosomal RNA is filed under the name uncultured bacterium. RNAcentral's name for it is "bacterial SSU rRNA". It matches the Rfam family "Bacterial small subunit ribosomal RNA", at positions 917 to 1322 of the family's 1533-position model. The record is from RNAcentral.